RNAcentral lists this ribosomal RNA (497 nucleotides) under uncultured bacterium. RNAcentral describes it as "partial 16S ribosomal RNA". It matches the Rfam family "Bacterial small subunit ribosomal RNA", at positions 28 to 507 of the family's 1533-position model. The record is from RNAcentral.
GACGAACGCUGGCGGCGUGCCUAAUACAUGCAAGUUGAGCGCUGAAGGUUGGUACUUGUACCAACUGGAUGAGCAGCGAACGGGUGAGUAACGCGUGGGGAAUCUGCCUUUGAGCGGGGGACAACAUUUGGAAACGAAUGCUAAUACCGCAUAAAAACUUUAAACACAAGUUUUAAGUUUGAAAGAUGCAAUUGCAUCACUCAAAGAUGAUCCCGCGUUGUAUUAGCUAGUUGGUGAGGUAAAGGCUCACCAAGGCGAUGAUACAUAGCCGACCUGAGAGGGUGAUCGGCCACAUUGGGACUGGGACACGGCCCAGACGCCGACGGGAGGCAGCAGUAGGGAAUCUUCGGCAAUGGACGAAAGUCUGACCGAGCAACGCCGCGUGAGUGAAGAAAGUUUUCGGAUCGUAAAACUCUGUUAGUAGAGAAGAACGUUGGUGAGAGUGGAAAGCUCAUCAAGUGACGGUAACUACCCAGAAAGGGACGGCUAACUACGUG